CAGGUAGCUCAGUUGGUAGAGCAGUGGACUGAAAAUCCUCGUGUCGGUGGUUCGAUUCCGCCCCUGG
RNAcentral lists this transfer RNA (67 nucleotides) under uncultured Luminiphilus sp. It matches the Rfam family "tRNA". Rfam says of the family: Transfer RNA (tRNA) molecules are approximately 80 nucleotides in length. RNAcentral also lists the same sequence under 1 other name. Lineage: Bacteria; Pseudomonadati; Pseudomonadota; Gammaproteobacteria; Cellvibrionales; Halieaceae. The record is from RNAcentral.